Molecule: ribosomal RNA, 741 nt
Filed under: uncultured bacterium
Lineage: Bacteria
Description: bacterial SSU rRNA
Rfam family: Bacterial small subunit ribosomal RNA
Source: RNAcentral
AGAGUUUGAUCAUGGCUCAGAGCGAACGCUGGCGGCAGGCCUAACACAUGCAAGUCGAGCGCCCCGCAAGGGGAGCGGCAGACGGGAGAGUAACACGUGGGAACGUGCCCUUUGGUUCGGAACAACACAGGGAAACUUGUGCUAAUACCGGAUAAGCCCUUACGGGGAAAGAUUUAUCGCCAAAGGAUCGGCCCGCGUCUGAUUAGCUAGUUGGUGAGGUAACGGCUCACCAAGGCGACGAUCAGUAGCUGGUCUGAGAGGAUGAUCAGCCUCAUUGGGACUGAGACACGGCCCAAACUCCUACGGGAGGCAGCAGUGGGGAAUAUUGGACAAUGGGCGCAAGCCUGAUCCAGCCAUGCCGCGUGGGUGAUGAAGGCCCUAGGGUUGUAAAGCCCUUUCGGCGGGGAAGAUAAUGACGGUACCCGCAGAAGAAGCCCCGGCUAACUUCGUGCCAGCAGCCGCGGUAAUACGAAGGGGGCUAGCGUUGCUCGGAAUCACUGGGCGUAAAGCGCACGUAGGCAGAUCUUUAAGUCGGUGGUGAAAUCCUGGAGCUCAACUCCAGAACUGCCUCCGAUACUGAGGGUCUUCGAGUCCGGGAGAGGUGAGUGGAACUGCGAGUGUAGAGGUGAAAUUCGUAGAUAUUCGCAAGAACACCAGUGGCGAAGGCGGCUCACUGGCCCGGUACUGACGCUGAGGUGCGAAAGCGUGGGGAGCAAACAGGAUUAGAUACCCUAGUAGUCC